AUUUUCUCCCUCUCAGAGAUAUCCGCCGCCCCAUGCGGCUCAACCUUUGCGAAUAAAAAAAGAGAGAGAAAACUUCAGAACUGUCGCGUCAUAUGAUGCUGCGAUGCGAGCAAGAUGAUUCCCUGGUCCGUUGAAUUAGUAGCUCUCUAGGAUAUUCCUUCAACAGUCAUGUCGCACCCGCAUUAUUGGCUUUAUUUUUUCUAGGAAUCUCAUCUUGAUUAUCCGGUUCCCUCCUUUUUUUUAUUACUAUGGGCUCAUAGAGGUUGCUCGUUUAAGAUGCUUUUGCUAAUGGUUAGGGUUGCCUUCAUUUAAAAUGAAUUAAUAUCUAGGGCUAUAAUAUAUCAUCAUCUAUCAGAUCAGCUGUUUGUGUUAUGUAGUCAGUAAUGACUAAUGAGCUACUGUACCUCUAUAAAAAGAGGUCGCAGUAUGUGAACAGGUACCAAAAUGGUUGAAACAAUCUGUUUAAUUUUUAUUCAAUUGUAUACCUCAUCAGAUUAAUCCCUGUUAUGUAGGCACAAUUAGAUACCUAGAGUUCUGUCUUGCAGGGUAAUCUGAUAUCUCUGAUUGGGAAAGUUCAAUUUUGUCAUAGGAUUCUGCUAUGUGGUUCUAUAUGAAAGCUGCUCAAUAAUAUAGAAAUACGAAUUUAUAAUGCAAGCAUUGGUUGAUCUUUUGUGAAAUAGUAGUUCUGAUCUACAUUCAGUUUAUAGGUUGCGACGACAAAGAACUUCUGAGACUAUAUACUAUGGGCUAUAGAAAGAGUGGACGAUGUAACAAGGUCACAGUUCUCAAAUUGUUGGUGUCAUUAGGACCUAGUUGAGUUGAUGAUCUAUUGUCUAACUGUUCAAGCUCAAGCACAGUUUCCUGUCUUGGAUCACUUCCUUGUGCAUCACUCUGUAAGUCAACACUUGCAGCACUGAGAUUAAUUGUGCUGCUCGGUGCUGAGCUGUAAUAUCCCAUUGCAUGCAGCACAUCCAGCUCCAUGCACUCCUUGAGCUCCACCACAACAUCAGUCAUUGUUGGCCGUUCCCGUGAUGGCCGCUCUUUGCAUUGCAGUGCCAAUUCUGCAACUUUCCAGACAGAGUUGACAUCAUACUCUCCUCCCAUCCUCGGGUCAACAAUGCUCUCAAUGUUGCCCAUUGAGAGCUUCUGGCGUACCCAAAGUGCAAUGUGAAUGCUCUCAGUGCCAGUAACAGGGACUGCUGGUGUCUGGCCUGUGAUGAGCUCCAGUAGCACAACUCCGAAGCUGUACACAUCACUCUUCUCACUAAGCCGGGAUGUGUUAUAAUAUUCAGGGUCCAGGUACCCCAGGGUACCUGCUGGUUGUGUUGUGACGUGGGUCCUGUAAUCGUCGGCAAACACCUUGGCUUACAAACCAUGGGCAGAGUCGAGAGCAAUCUUGAGACGUUGAUGCCAAGUGAGGGGUGUAGCAGCAGAGGCUUCACCUGCGAUUGAUGGUCACAACAAAUUGGUUACAACAAGGUAGAAGCACCAUUAUCACACAGAUUUGCGUUGUUACCAGUCCUAGCAUUGGAGAAACAUUGUCUGAGUAGUGAGUAGGUAAAGUGGAGAGAAAGUAUGUGGUAACUGCAUUUGUUUUGUUCUAGCAGUAGGGUUACUUUAUUUUUCGAGCAUCUAGGAAUCACUGUGUAAUCCUUCAGAAGGAACCCCUUUGGAUUAAAAGUGAGUUCUUAAAAUUAGCUACAUGAUGCAAACCUUAAUACAAGAGAUCCAUUUUGACGUUUUUGUAGUAGAACUGCAGGAACCGGUCCACUGAAUUUGUUGCUUGACAAAUCACUGCAGUAACCCAGUUUGAUAUGUUGAUUGAAUUACCCCUUGAAUUUUUGAUAAAAGUGAUUUCUGUUUAGAAAUGUAGUAAUACUUACAGGAAUGUGAGUGAUGGCAUUUGUGCAAGAAAAUCAGGUAUUGAAGGGAUUUUAGAUCUCUAAAGGAGGCAUCGAUUUGGCCAUUCAACCCACUGGAUGACAAGUGCCUGCAGCAAAUCCAAUAGUUGGUCAAUGUCAAAGGCAUGAAACAUAAUCAAUUUAUUUUUUUAGUUCUCUAGCAUCCAUGACCAGAUGAAGAAUAACUGCAGUUCAAUCCAUCCCAAGCAAAUGCUUUUGGUGCACAAGGAUCACCCAUCCAAUUUUUCUUCAAUCCAUACUUUGUGCGAAUUUCCAUCAUGGCCUUGGCUGUGCGUGAUGUCCAGACCAUUGAAAACUGAGCUUGUUGCAGAUGGAUGCAGGAGGCUGAGAGCAUUUCAAGCAAAGCUAAAGUGCCAAAACAGAUACCAUCUCCAUCAUUUGUCGCAAGUUCAGUCAUUGGCAGCACUGUAUAUAUUUCGAAUGCAUUCAGGAUUGGUGGAAGAGUUGCAUCUGGUGUGGCUACAAGUGAUACAGUAUGCUGGCUUGAUCCCUGCACGGUCCUUUUCACAAGCUUAGCAGAAAGGUAUUUCGGGCUGUACCCCUGGCUGCUGUUCCAUGUAACGUUAUCGACAAGGAUAUCAAAUCGCCUCAGUGCAUUGCUUGGUAACCUCUGUACGUCCGCAAAAUAAAGCAACAGGAGGUAUGACGUGUUGUCAUUGUUUAUGGAGGAAUCCGAGUUCCAUGUGAAGUCGAUCCGGGUUCCAUUCACCGGAGUGGCGGCACUCCACAAUAUCUUCGAUGGUGUAUGGAAGCUGCUGAUGUUGGAGACAUCGACGGCUGUCGAGGAUGUUAUGUUCGUCCAUGCAUCAACGUCACCAUAGGAACUGCCAGAGCCGGUCAUAUGGAUCAAAUGGGUACCUGUUGUUUACAGGAGAUCAAUAUGAACAGAAUUGACAAAAAGAUGCUGGAACUAGGAGGAGGCAACUUUAGAACAUUAGGGAUCUGAAUCUAGAUUAUAACUUUGUUUUACAAUGGAAGAGGAACGAGCUUUCAGUCAGAACUUUUAGAAGAUUUGGUGAGUUUGUUUUUUCCAGAAAGAUUUGCUGAUUAAAAUUUAUUUAUCAGAAUCAAACAAUUAUUCAGGUCCUAUUAGAAUGCACUAAAAAUGGAAGAAUGUUGAAGAA
This is a long non-coding RNA of Panicum virgatum (switchgrass), 3046 nucleotides long. RefSeq lists it as uncharacterized. NCBI's taxonomy places the organism in Eukaryota, Viridiplantae, Streptophyta, Magnoliopsida, Poales, Poaceae. The transcript is spliced from 7 exons. The record is from RefSeq and is a predicted model, not a curated record.